GUGGACAUGAUUUCACGUAUCUCACAUUCUUGAGGGCAAGCUCGAAGAUGAACACUUUUCACUGCUCCAGUAAAAUGUAUGCAUGUCUCUAUUAAAGCUGUGUAAGAUACCUGAAGUGGUCUAAAUGGUGGCAGGUGGCAUGUGAUGUAUUUUCCAGGUCUUGUUAAUAAAUGCUAUUCUUCAUGACCAAUCAAUGUCAUUCUUACAGUUAAGUUUCAUUCAUUUAAUUCAUUUAAUUUUUAUUUUGUUUCAGUAUAUGGAGAGAAAAUUAAAUACUCAUUAUGGGUCAUUAAUUGGCAGUUUUCACCUUAAUACUUGAAACAUCAGGCUGUGCAUUCACCUGCAAAAUGCUAAGGAGCUCCAGCAUCUGAAAAGAACAAAACACUUCCCAUCUCAUUUUCUUAACUAAAGCCUCUUCUUGAUAAAGAUUUGUGUAAAGUCCAAACCUUCUCUGUUAGUGACUUCUUUUAUACGCCUGAAUGAUGCUGUAGCAAAUUGAAGACCUCCAUUUUCAGUUUGAGGAUCAGCACUGCAAGUUGGUUUUUUUUCAUCAUAAAAUGCUGAAAAUGUAAUUAAGAAAACUUCUCUACACAUUACUUAACAUAUUUUUAAUAAAGCAUUUUAGAAACCUGUGGGG
Pezoporus occidentalis (night parrot) is the source of this 637-nucleotide long non-coding RNA. RefSeq lists it as uncharacterized. The transcript has 2 exons. The record is from RefSeq and is a predicted model, not a curated record. NCBI's taxonomy places the organism in Eukaryota, Metazoa, Chordata, Aves, Psittaciformes, Psittacidae.